This 337-nucleotide ribosomal RNA is filed under the name uncultured eukaryote. RNAcentral's name for it is "partial 18S ribosomal RNA". It matches the Rfam family "Eukaryotic small subunit ribosomal RNA", at positions 1470 to 1796 of the family's 1831-position model. The record is from RNAcentral.
CCCUUCGAUGUUCUGGGCUGCACGCGCGCUACACUGAUAAAGUCAACGAGUUUACAACCUUAUCCGAAAGGAUUGGGUAAUCUUUUGAAACUUUAUCGUGAUGGGGAUAGAUGAUUGCAAUUAUUCGUCUUGAACGAGGAAUGCCUAGUAAGCGCAGUUCAUCAGACUGCGUUGAUUACGUCCCUGCCCUUUGUACACACCGCCCGUCGCUCCUACCGAUUGAAUGGUCCGGUGAAAUCUUCGGAUUGUUGAGUUGUCUUGUUGCUAGUUCGCUAGCAGCAGCGCUUGCGAGAAGUUGAUUAAACCUUAUCAUUUAGAGGAAGGAGAAGUCGUAACA